GUAGCCGGGUUGAGAGACCGACCGGCCAGAUUGGGACUGAGACACGGCCCAGACUCCUACGGGAGGCAGCAGUGGGGAAUCUUGCGCAAUGGGGGGAACCCUGACGCAGCGACGCCGCGUGCGGGACGGAGGCCUUCGGGUCGUAAACCGCUUUCAGCAGGGAAGAGUCAAGACUGUACCUGCAGAAGAAGCCCCGGCUAACUACGUGCCAGCAGCCGCGGUAAUACGUAGGGGGCGAGCGUUAUCCGGAUUCAUUGGGCGUAAAGCGCGCGUAGGCGGCCCGGCAGGCCGGGGGUCGAAGCGGGGGGCUCAACCCCCCGAAGCCCCCGGAACCUCCGCGGCUUGGGUCCGGUUGGGGAGGGUGGAACACCCGGUGUAGCGGUGGAAUGCGCAGAUAUCGGGUGGAACACCGGUGGCGAAGGCGGCCCUCUGGGCCGAGACCGACGCUGAGGCGCGAAAGCUGGGGGAGCGAACAGGAUUAGAUACCCUGGUAGUCCCAGCCGUAAACGAUGAACGCUAGGUGUGGGGGGACGAUCCCUCCGUGCC
This 546-nucleotide ribosomal RNA is filed under the name uncultured bacterium. RNAcentral describes it as "partial 16S ribosomal RNA". It matches the Rfam family "Bacterial small subunit ribosomal RNA", at positions 283 to 847 of the family's 1533-position model. The record is from RNAcentral.